Molecule: ribosomal RNA, 402 nt
Filed under: Verrucomicrobiota bacterium
Lineage: Bacteria; Pseudomonadati; Verrucomicrobiota
Description: Verrucomicrobia bacterium partial 16S ribosomal RNA
Rfam family: Bacterial small subunit ribosomal RNA
Source: RNAcentral
UGGGGAAUUUUGCACAAUGGGGGAAACCCUGAUGCAGCGACGCCGCGUGAUUUAGAAGGCCCUCGGGUUGUAAAAAUCUUUUGUAUGGGAAGAAAAUGACAGUACCAUACGAAUAAGGACCGGCUAACUACGUGCCAGCAGCCGCGGUAAUACGUAUGGGGCGAGCUUUGUCCGGAAUUAUUGGGCGUAAAGGGUACGUAGGCGGUCUAUUAAGUCAGGUGUGAAAGCGUGAGGCUUAACCUCAUUAAGCACUUGAAACUGAUAGACUUGAGUGAAGGAGAGGAAAGUGGAAUUCCUAGUGUAGCGGUGAAAUGCGUAGAUAUUAGGAGGAAUACCGGUGGCGAAGGCGACUUUCUGGACUUUUACUGACGCUCAGGUACGAAAGCGUGGGGAGCAAACAGG